UACGAGGGGGGCAAGCGUUGUUCGGAAUUAUUGGGCGUAAAGGGCGCGUAGGCGGUUUGACAAGUCUGAUGUGAAAUCUAUGGGCUCAACCCAUAGCCUGCAUUAGAAACUGUCGGGCUUGAGUAUGGGAGAGGUGAGUGGAAUUUCCGGUGUAGCGGUGAAAUGCGUAGAUACCGGAAGGAACACCUGUGGCGAAAGCGGCUCACUGGACCAUAACUGACGCUGAGGCGCGAAAGCUAGGGGAGCAAACAGG
This 253-nucleotide ribosomal RNA is filed under the name uncultured bacterium. RNAcentral describes it as "partial 16S ribosomal RNA". It matches the Rfam family "Bacterial small subunit ribosomal RNA", at positions 524 to 776 of the family's 1533-position model. The record is from RNAcentral.